CCCCACUUCUUCUCUUCCUCUUUCUUUGCUUUCAACUGCUGAUGCGUCUCUUGCUGGUUGAGAUUGAAAUGCCCUUCUUCUUUCUUUCAUUUCUCGUCCAUUCAGCCUUCCCUUUCGUUUCGAUGCGAACCUUUUCAAUUGAGCUGCAUUCACUCCUCUCACAGAUUUAUAUUAGAUAGGGCGAGCAGCUUCGCUCCUUGCCUUGCAUCUUAGCGCGAGAGGGGUCCCACGGAGCGGUUCUCUAGAUUCAAUUCCUUAAAAAAAAAAG
RNAcentral lists this unclassified non-coding RNA (268 nucleotides) under Hevea brasiliensis (rubber tree). Lineage: Eukaryota; Viridiplantae; Streptophyta; Magnoliopsida; Malpighiales; Euphorbiaceae. The record is from RNAcentral.